Molecule: ribosomal RNA, 256 nt
Filed under: uncultured bacterium
Lineage: Bacteria
Description: partial 16S ribosomal RNA
Rfam family: Bacterial small subunit ribosomal RNA
Source: RNAcentral
UAACACGUAGGAGGCGAGCGUUAUCCGGAUUUACUGGGUGUAAAGCGCGUGCAGGCGGUUCAGAAAGUUGGAUGUGAAAGCUCCUGGCUUAACUGGGAGAGGUCGUUCAAUACUUCUGGACUCGAGAGUGGGAGAGGGAGGUGGAAUUCCGGGUGUAGUGGUGAAAUGCGUAGAUAUCCGGAGGAACACCAGUGGCGAAAGCGGCCUCCUGGCCCAUUUCUGACGCUCAGACGCGAAAGCUAGGGUAGCAAACGGG